Long non-coding RNA from Camelina sativa (false flax), 466 nucleotides. RefSeq lists it as uncharacterized. NCBI's taxonomy places the organism in Eukaryota, Viridiplantae, Streptophyta, Magnoliopsida, Brassicales, Brassicaceae. The record is from RefSeq and is a predicted model, not a curated record.
GUUACUUUCUUGGUGACCAAGUUUACUCUAUGUACUAUAUAUUCUACCACUUUUUAUCCUUUUUCCCUUUUCAAAUCAGAAUUUCUCAUCAAUGACGGAUGAGAAGAGAUAGAAAACAGAGUGAUUCUGAAAACACGAUGGUGGAACAUGAGAACAUAACAGAGUGGAUUGAGGACCGCCAUGAUGAAACACGAGCAUUGUUGAUGUAUUCUUUGCGUUUUCAAGCACAGAAGUGAUUCUGGUUUUUGAAAUCAGACCCUUCACGCACAUUUUUUUCUUUAAGUAUUGAGGUUAUACAUGGUUUGGUGGGAAACAUUUUCAGUUGAAGAACACUUCAAUGGAGCAACUCAAGGUUGCCAGAGGAAAACAAACGACUUUAUCGGAAGAGCUUCAGCUGGAGAUAAUGCCGAAACACUUGCGAUUAUAAUCGAAAAGAAGAGUCGAGAGUGAGAUUGUUUUACACUUU